CGCGGGAUGGAGCAGUUGGUAGCUCGUCGGGCUCAUAACCCGAAGGUCGUAGGUUCAAGUCCUACUCCCGCA
This 72-nucleotide transfer RNA is filed under the name Clostridium estertheticum. RNAcentral describes it as "tRNA-Met". It matches the Rfam family "tRNA". Rfam says of the family: Transfer RNA (tRNA) molecules are approximately 80 nucleotides in length. Their secondary structure includes four short double-helical elements and three loops (D, anti-codon, and T loops). The record is from RNAcentral. Lineage: Bacteria; Bacillati; Bacillota; Clostridia; Eubacteriales; Clostridiaceae.